Molecule: long non-coding RNA, 1134 nt
Filed under: Oryctolagus cuniculus (rabbit)
Lineage: Eukaryota; Metazoa; Chordata; Mammalia; Lagomorpha; Leporidae
Description: lncRNA (ENSOCUG00000030191.1)
Source: RNAcentral
CGCGGUCCCGGGUCCCGAGCUGCGGACAGGGUUCUCGCAACGGCCUCUCCCCCUCCGCCGGCCGCCUCCCCCGCUCCGGCGCGGCCUCCUCUUACACCUGACUCCUGGUCGGCCGCCUCCCGCGUGGGGCUCAAGACCACGUCGAGGGUGGGCACCCGGACUACGAGGCCGGGGAAGUGCGAGGGCGCGCGCGCAGAGCCGCUCCUCCCGGGGGAGGCUGGCGACUCGGGACCGACAGACCGACGUCCCGGACGGGCGGGGAGGGGAGGAGGUGGAGCCGCCGGGAGGGGCGGUGCCGCGGGGAGCAGAGCCCGGCCUCCCGCCCCCUCCGGUGUCUCAGCCCCGGCCGCGACACAAAAAGCCCCCGCUCGCUUCCGAGCGCCCGGCCGCGGCGUCCGAGCCAGGAGCCGAGGGUGGCGGAGCAGGUGGGGGCGCCGCCCGAGGGGCCGGGCCGGGAGCUGGGGCUGCAGGCGCCGCCGCCGCCGCCGCUCUGCCCGCGCCCGCCCCGCAGCCCGCGGCGGGAGGAGUCGGCGGCCCGCGGCGCGCGUCUUGUGGAGCCCGGCGGGCGCGCCGGGACCACCCAGCUAUGGCUGCUGCCUGCACCUACCGGCCCUGUAUCUCGUUGCCCCAGCCCUCGGAGGAAGGUCAGUGAGUUUCGGUUUGUUUUCUCCGCUCUCCCCGCUCCUGGGUCGGAGCGCAGAGCGAGGCGCGAAGGGAUGUUUGCGCCCCGACCCAGGGAAGCGGGAAAGGGCAGCUGCCGCCGGCGGUAUUUGGGGGGCAUCUCUGGGACAGUGGCAGGGCCCCCCCACGGGUCUCGGGGAGCGGAGCUGCGGGGUCAGCGCUGCAGGGCGGCCCCGGGACACCGGGGAGGUGGUGGUCCCCGGAGUUGCGUUUCCCCCGAGCGCUGGCGGAGUUGGGCGUGCAGCUGGGGCUAGGGAGCGGCGCGGUCGCGCGGCUCCACCGAGUCCUCGGAUGCCCCCUGGAGCUCCGGUCCGAGGGAGCCCGCCUCGUGCCCGCGCCGCGCGCGCCUCUGGAGGGGGUGCACGUGCGUGUGCGCGCGCCCCAGAGCUGCGCCCCCCCCACCCCGUCCAGCCACCGAACCCCUCGGAUCGUUGUCUCCCAGCCCCCUCGUGG